UGUGGGAGCGAGCCUGCUCGCGAUAGCGGAAUAUCAGUCAGCACCCAUGCGUCUGAUACACCGCCAUCGCGAGCAGGCUCGCUCCCACA
This 89-nucleotide unclassified non-coding RNA is filed under the name Pseudomonas corrugata. Lineage: Bacteria; Pseudomonadati; Pseudomonadota; Gammaproteobacteria; Pseudomonadales; Pseudomonadaceae. The record is from RNAcentral.